This is a long non-coding RNA of Cynoglossus semilaevis (tongue sole), 253 nucleotides long. RefSeq lists it as uncharacterized. The transcript has 2 exons. The record is from RefSeq and is a predicted model, not a curated record. Lineage: Eukaryota; Metazoa; Chordata; Actinopteri; Pleuronectiformes; Cynoglossidae.
GUAGUAGAAUCCUCAAAGACGAUUGGUCAAAAGAUCCGGAAGUGCUGGGCUUUUCCUGUGUAAAACGCUCAAAUAAAUAAAUAAAUAAAUAAAACAGCUAAAGUCAAUGGCGGCGUUUGUAGCUCUGAGAGGCGGUUGUUGCCAUUAACACGGAGACCGAAGAGAUCCUGAUGGAGGUGACGCUAAGAUGAAAUCAGCCGCUAACAAGACAACAAAGGAAGCGAGUUGUCAAAAUGUGAUCAGCAUAAAAAUU